ACUCCCGACGGUGACUCGGCGAGCGCCGCUACAGCGCUACUCCUUCUCGCCAAACAAACGGCAAGUCAUCAGCGACGCACAGCGCCGACGUCGUCACCGCCACCGCCACACUCACGUCACGCCAUUCCGUCCGCAGCAAGGUCCUAUGGUGUAUGGAUGUAUGCACUGCGCGUAUUCUUACAUUAACACUCUUGCGACCCUCAAAUUCGCAGAUUCAAAGACCUUGAAGGAGGAACAAAGAGAGGAGCUAUUUGAAAGUUUAAAGGUCAAUAGCUCUAUUAGGUGGGAAGUGGAUGUCAUACGCCCAAAGGAUCUAUCUGCUAAAAUGUUAAAAAAAGUCGAAAGUUAAUCUGAAUGAAAUAUCACAUAACUCUGCCAUGGGCCUUGUUAGAAAAGUUCUUGACAUGGGAGUUCUACUGGCAGAAGCAUAUAUAGAUACAGUGGGAGAUCUUAAAAAGUACAGAAUCAAGCUGACAGAAAAGUUUACAGGGUUCAAAUUUGUGGUUGCCAAAAAAGUUGAUAGCCUUUACACUGUUGUUAGUGGAGCAAGUAUAGUUGCAAAGGUCACUAGGGAUAGAGCGCUGUGAAACUGGGUGUUUGAUGAAACAACUCUGAUUCUGCACAUGAGAAAUGGAUCAGGAUAUCCAAGAGACCCUGAUACUAAGCGGUGGUUAGAAGAUCACAAGCAUCUGGUAUUUGGCUUCUUCAAGGACGCAGUCGCUGUGACAUGGGAGUCUGAUGAAGUUGAUCAAGAAGAGACCGACAGUGGAGACACCAAGGAGUUUAUUGGAUCCGUAGUAUCCCCAACAACGGGCUUCAGAAAAAUGUUAUCCCCAACAUUGUAAUUGGACUUUCGGUAUUAUAACAGUCUUUCCUUUGGUAUUUCAGUAUCCUGCACAGACUUAACCGUUGUCCACGUUCAUCAACGACU
This is an RNA transcript of Zea mays, 931 nucleotides long. It is a transcript of the gene named ribonuclease H2 subunit A-like, with no coding region annotated. NCBI's taxonomy places the organism in Eukaryota, Viridiplantae, Streptophyta, Magnoliopsida, Poales, Poaceae. The transcript is spliced from 8 exons. The record is from RefSeq and is marked validated.